Molecule: ribosomal RNA, 253 nt
Filed under: uncultured bacterium
Lineage: Bacteria
Description: partial 16S ribosomal RNA
Rfam family: Bacterial small subunit ribosomal RNA
Source: RNAcentral
UACGAAGGGGGCUAGCGUUGUUCGGAAUUACUGGGCGUAAAGCGCGCGCAGGCGGUCCUUUAAGUCAGGGGUGAAAGCCCAGAGCUCAACUCUGGAACGGCCUUUGAAACUAGAGGACUUGGGUACGGGAGAGGUGAGUGGAAUUCCCAGUGUAGCGGUGAAAUGCGUAGAUAUUGGGAGGAACACCAGUGGCGAAGGCGGCUCACUGGACCGGUACUGACGCUGAUGCGCGAAAGCGUGGGGAGCAAACGGG